Molecule: unclassified non-coding RNA, 439 nt
Filed under: plant metagenome
Description: partial contains small subunit ribosomal RNA, internal transcribed spacer 1, and 5.8S ribosomal RNA
Source: RNAcentral
UUUCCGUAGGUGAACCUGCGGAAGGAUCAUUGCACACACGAUGCAGCAAACUAGCGAACUGUGUUUGUCCCCCACCUACCCCAAACACGAGGGGCCGCAUCUGGAGGUGCGGCUGUCGACGGCAAGGUCCCGACCUUCGGGUCCCCGCAGUGGUUCCCGCAAGCGGGCUGAUCAUGUCGCCGUCUGGGUGUCCCGCGCGGGCUCUCGCCUUGCCUUAGGGUUGGGCGACGCGGGCAUUCUCCUCCCUUCGAUGGCGUCGUCCCCUCCUCCGGGAGAGCGACACGCCUCGAGGGCCGUUUACAACUUUGCACCAUGUACAGCACCAGUGACUGGGUAUACCUGUGUCCCGGGUCCGCUGCUGCACUCGGGUGGUGCGGGACUGGUCCAUAGGAACAAGAGUAAAUAAAAACAACUCUCAGCAACGGAUAUCUUGGCUCUU